CCUACGGGAGGCAGCAGUCGGGAAUAUUGCUCAAUGGAGGAAACCCUGACGCAGCGACGCCGCGUGGAGGAUGAAGGUUUUCGGAUUGUAAACUGCUUUUGUUAGAGAAGAUAAUGACGGUAUCUAACGAAUAAGCACCGGCUAACUCCGUGCCAGCAGCCGCGGUAAUACGGAGGGUGCAAGCGUUACUCGGAAUCACUGGGCGUAAAGAGCGCGUAGGCGGGAUAGCAAGUCAGAUGUGAAAUCCUAUGGCUUAACUAAAGAACUGCAUUUGAAACUGUUAUUCUAGAGUGUGGGAGAGGUAGGUGGAAUUCUUGGUGUAGGGGUAAAAUCCGUAGAGAUCAAGAGGAAUACUCAUUGCGAAGGCGACUUGCUAGAACAUAACUGACGUUGAUGCGCGAAAGCGUGGGGAGCAAACAGGAUUAGAUACCCUAGUAGUC
This 440-nucleotide ribosomal RNA is filed under the name uncultured bacterium. RNAcentral describes it as "partial 16S ribosomal RNA". It matches the Rfam family "Bacterial small subunit ribosomal RNA", at positions 338 to 795 of the family's 1533-position model. The record is from RNAcentral.